RNAcentral lists this ribosomal RNA (425 nucleotides) under uncultured bacterium. RNAcentral's name for it is "bacterial SSU rRNA". It matches the Rfam family "Bacterial small subunit ribosomal RNA", at positions 355 to 775 of the family's 1533-position model. The record is from RNAcentral.
UCGAGGAUCUUCGGCAAUGGGCGCAAGCCUGACCGAGCGACGCCGCGUGUGGGAUGAAGGCCUUCGGGUUGUAAACCACUGUCAGAGGGGAUGAAAUGCAUGAGGGUUCUCUCUCAUGCUUGACAUAUCCUCAGAGGAAGGACGGGCUAAGUUCGUGCCAGCAGCCGCGGUAAGACGAACCGUCCAAACGUUAUUCGGAAUUACUGGGCUUAAAGGGUGCGUAGGCGGCGCGGUAAGUUGGGUGUGAAAUCCCUCGGCUCAACCGAGGAAUUGCGCUCGAUACUGCCGUGCUCGAGGGAGACAGAGGUGAGCGGAACUUAGGGUGGAGCGGUGAAAUGCGUUGAUAUCCUAAGGAACACCAGUGGAGAAAGCGGCUCACUGGGUCUCUUCUGACGCUGAGGCACGAAAGCUAGGGGAGCGAACGG